AAUGUCUUAAACGGUAGAAUCUUUUUCUUGCAGAUCCUCUGGGGAUCAUCGGAAAAAUCCUUGUCUAAUUUGGGUUGCAACCAUGGGGAUGGAAACCACUGCUUUAGAAGCUGGAGCAGUGCAGCCUCUGCUAUAAACAUAGCACGACCGUCCCACUUAAGGAUGUGGAUAAACGGGGAUGAAAAAGGAAAGGAGAAAAGCCCAAGCAAAAUUAGUUGAGGCAAGGGCACAGGUCCAGGGUUGGGAUUUCCACUACAUAGGACCAGUCUCUCCUUAGCCCCCUACGACAAUGGGGAACUAAGGCGUGAAUUUGACUUCUGAAUAACUUCUGACCCAGUUUGACAGGUUCAUCUGCUACCCAGAUGAACCUGUGGAAUGCACCUGUGAGGGAUAAUGACUUCCGAGUUGGAAACCUGAGACUCGGAUGAUUUUGUAAGAAUAUUGGAACCGGACCAAUAAACUGCUACAUCAUAUGACUUGUCCUGGUCAGCAUGCUGUUACUGUUGCAAGGGCUACCCUAUGGCAACGGUGGAUUAGGGCCAGGCAUCUACUUCGAUGUGCCAUGCUUUAAUAAAUGCAAAUAUUC
Non-coding RNA from Penaeus vannamei (Pacific white shrimp), 586 nucleotides. Lineage: Eukaryota; Metazoa; Arthropoda; Malacostraca; Decapoda; Penaeidae. The record is from RefSeq and is a predicted model, not a curated record.